GAUGAACGCUGGCGGCGUGCUUAACACAUGCAAGUCGAACGGAAAGGCCCUGUUUUUGCUGGGUGCUCGUGUGGCGCACGGGUGUGUAACACGUGAGUAUUCUCCCCUUGACUUUGGGAUAACUCUAGGAAACUGGGGCUAAUACCGGAUAGGAGAUUUUGCUGCAUGGUGGGCGUUGGAAAGUUUCGGCGGUUGGGGAUCGACUUGCGGCUUACCAGCUUGUUGGUGGAGUAGUGGCAUACCAAGGCUUCGACGGGUAGUCGGCCUGAGAGGGUGGCCAGCCACAAUGGGACUGAGGUAGGGCGCAGACUGGUACGGGAGGCAGCGGGGGGGAAUAUUGCACAAUGGGCGGAAGCCUGAUGCAGCGACGCCGCGUGCGGGAAGACGGCCUUCGGGGUGUAAACCACUUUCGCCUGAGACGAAGCGUGAGUGACGGUAAUGGGUAAAGAAGCACCGGCUAACUACGUG
Molecule: ribosomal RNA, 468 nt
Filed under: uncultured bacterium
Lineage: Bacteria
Description: partial 16S ribosomal RNA
Rfam family: Bacterial small subunit ribosomal RNA
Source: RNAcentral